This is a long non-coding RNA of Daphnia pulex (common water flea), 352 nucleotides long. RefSeq lists it as uncharacterized. NCBI's taxonomy places the organism in Eukaryota, Metazoa, Arthropoda, Branchiopoda, Diplostraca, Daphniidae. The record is from RefSeq and is a predicted model, not a curated record. The transcript is spliced from 3 exons.
UAUGGUUUUUUCAUCAUGAACAUUUCAGUGUGCUUCUUAGAAAAGAGCACGCAGUUCCUUUAUGGAUACGUGUGGUCCUGGCACGGAGAUUCUUGUGCCAAUGCUGACCUUUGUCCAUGACGAAGAGGAACUUCCACCAAUGUCUUCUCUCAUCCUUAUCUUCGCGACGUCCGCUCAUCUAGCUUCACUGCUUUGUAUGAACUACUACACAACUUGUCUUCUUCAUUGGCGAGUUGGAUCCCUUCAGUGUUCGCUUCCGCCCGCUGUGACACACCUGUAAUCAUUCACCGCGGGAUUAUGCCCAGGUAAUGCAGAGGAAACGUCGAGAAGGUGGACACCGAAACGUCGCCGG